Molecule: ribosomal RNA, 460 nt
Filed under: uncultured bacterium
Lineage: Bacteria
Description: partial 16S ribosomal RNA
Rfam family: Bacterial small subunit ribosomal RNA
Source: RNAcentral
CCUACGGGUGGCAGCAGUGAGGAAUAUUGGUCAAUGGGCGCGAGCCUGAACCAGCCAAGUCGCGUGAGGGAAGACGGCCCUACGGGUUGUAAACCUCUUUUGCCGGGGAGCAACGGGCGCCACGUGUGGCGCCACUGAUAGUACCCGGAGGAAAAGCAUCGGCAAACGCCGUGCCAGCAGCCGCGGUAAUACGGAGGAUGCGAGCGUUCUCCGGAUUUAUUGGGUUUAAAGGGUGCGUAGGCGGAGCGUUAAGUCAGUGGUCAAAUUGAGGGGCCAAACCCCUUCCCGCCAUUGAAACUGGCGCUCUUGAGUGGAAGAGAAGUAGGCGGAAUGCGUGGUGUAGCGGUGAAAUGCAUAGAUAUCACGCAGAACCCCGAUUGCGAAGGCAGCAUGCUGGAUUCCGACUGACGCUGAAGCACGAAAGCGUGGGGAUCGAACAGGAUUAGAUACCCUGGUAGUC